CAGUAAUUAAGGACAGGGUGGACAUAAGUUUGAGAAGCGUGACCUAUUUUCUUUUGAUCAGCUGUCAAAAGAAGAGCAGGGGGUCUCCUUAAGACAGCCCCCUUCAACCACUUCCAGCUGUUAGAGAAAACUUGAUAAGAAAACAAGGGCAGAGCUCGGAAUACUGUAUGUCCCUUCUUGGUGCCAGAGAAAGGUUUGAUUCAUUUGGAAAACAGUUCUUAGUCUCAGUGACCUUUUCUGCCGCCCUCCUCUCUCUUCUUGCUUCAGAGCAACACCCCCACCCCCACCCUGUCACAUGAAUGUACAGUGACGUUAUUCAUAGAUCAACUUCAUUGAGCUCUGGCCAAUACGCUGCCAAUUAUUCUUUCAAAUAGCGUCUUCUCUGUGUUAUCAAAGCCUGAGUAAGAAAGCGGCAGAUCCUCUGGUUUGCCAGACAUACUUUUCUGGUUGCUCACAUCUCUAGUGUCACAACAGGAGCCAGUGUACCCUGGACGACAUUGUUACAUGUGCUUUCCCAAAUCCACGGACUUCUGGCUGAUCCGGGGUUGCAAUAUGCACUGCACCACCAUCCUCUCUCUUGGAAAUUCCCUUCGGCUGGGAAAGAAAUGGAUGAUCAAGGUCAGUGGUUUCCAACCAGGCUGAACAUCAGAAUCCACAGGAAUGAUGCUAAGCCCCAUUUCACCUCUGAGACUUUCAGGUUCAAGCGUCUGGAAUGGGGCCACAGAUCUGAAUUUUUAAAGAAGGGUUCUGGUUGACUCUGACAGUUACAUUAAAUGAGUAUAUUUUGGAACCACCAGGCUGAGUGGCCUUAAAAUUUUCUUCAAGAACUAAGGCUCCAGGGCAGGAGGGUACUAGGGAAACUGCCUGGCCACCUGACCCUUCUCUGAUCUCCUCACUCUCUCAGGUGACCCCUUCCUGGACCUAGCAUCCCUCAACUUUUCUGACUUCCCUGGACCAGGCUGGGAACUCACAUUCUCUUCUAGAGAAUAGAAUGCAAUAGAGUUGAUGGGAUGUCACUUUUGAUAUUAGUAUGUAAAAAGGCUGUGCACUCUCUCUUGCCUUCUCACUUGCUUUGAGGGAAGCCCACUGCCAUGUUGCAAGUUGCCCUGUGAAGAGGCCUCCAUGACAAGGAACUGUAGGGUCCCCUGGACAACAGCCAGCAAGGCAAUGAGACCCUUAGUCUCAUCAAUAGUCUACGAGGAACUGAAUCUUGCAAGAACCACAUGGAUGAGGUUGCAAGGUCCAAUUAGAUAAACUCAUCCUCGCUGGCAGAUAAUGGCACCAAUGUGAUCAUCCUCCUAGAGGUAUUUUCAUCUUGGUAUGGAGCCUCCAGAGCUAUCUUUGCUUGAAAGAAUGAAACUUCAGGAAUGAAAGUUUGCACAUAAAGCAAGCCCAUGAGAAAGACAUUUCGGGAAAACUAGAAUCCUGUUAAGUUAUGGGAUUUUUUUCAAGCCACAUGGUUGAUAAGUAGUCUGACCAGGAUCCUGGAGCAACACAAGGAAGACAAGGACCCUUGAAGACAAGGCAGCCUUGAAACCAAAUGAAGCCCUGGGCCAGUGAGCAUGGCAAGAGGAAGACUGUUAAUUGCGAGAAAGCUGGGUCUUGAAGAUGAUUCCAUAUCAACAUACAGGGAGUUCCACCACUGAAUGGUCUAUCGGUUGGGAAUGCCAUCAUUUAUUUUCACCAGUGGGGAAGAAUUGGUAUUAAUAUCAAAACCACAGUACUGUCAUACCCAGCUAUAAUUUGCAAUGUUUAUAUGCCUGCUGGAGUGCAAUGACAUGAUUAUGGACCUUCAGGGAUUGAGCAGCUCGACAUCCCAAGGAUCAAGCAAUCCUCCGGCCUCAGCCUACCAAGUAGCUGGGACUACAGCCAUUUGACACCCCACCCAGUUAAUUUUUGUUUUUUGUUUUUUUGUAAAGACAAGGUUUAGCCAUGUUGCCCAGGCUGGUCUGGAACCCCUGGGUUCAAGCAAUCCUCCCACCUCAGCUUCCCAAAGUGCUGGGAUUAUAGGCAUAAGCCACUGCACCCAGCAUAAAUAAUCUCUUAUUUGUUCAUCCAUGGUGUUGUCUUUAGUUUUUAAAAAUGGAUCCUUUUGUUAUUCUUUUAUAGCCCCAGAUUAAGAAUUUGUCCAAGUUUUGUAUAUUUUUUCAGUUAUUUCAAUAUCAAAGCCCAGCACAUCUUUAAAAUCACUUCUAUGUAUAGAUAUUAACCUUUUUGACAUUUGUGUUUUGGUAUUCCAUAUUUACUCAGUUCUCCUUUCACACCCUCCCUUUAGAAGAGGAGUAUGACCAUGGCAGGAUGGAGGGGUAGUGGCAGUAGGGGCCAUAGUAUGUUUUCUAUAUUUAUCCAGCAUAUUUAAAACAUGGUAUUCUAGCUUCAAGGGAGAACAUUGAACUCCCAUUUGGACAUGUUAAGUUGAAGAUGUCUGUUAGACACCCAAGAGAAUAUGUCAAGCAGAUAUCAUCUGCCCUUGUUUUUCCUUUUCCAAACUGGCUCUCCUUAGUUCCAUCUCCAGAUGACAUGGUCCUCAAACCCUUUGUGAUCUUGGUUCUCUACUCCAGUUCUUCAAUGUUUUUCUUGAAUGUGGCACCCAGAAUUAAAUAGAGCACCCCAGAUAAUGGCUGCCCAGCAGGAUAGACAUGUGUUUGUUAUAUAAUUCUUAGAGACUAUAGCUGACGUCACUGGUGCCCAGCCCAUAUCUUCUUGAGCCCUAGCAUUUUCGUGCAUGGUGGCCUGAUUUCUAACUGUCAGCACCUAAAUAUCUUUGCCUGAGGACUUUCUCUGUCGGCCAGAGCCUGCUUUGUGCACAGUCAGAAGUGCCAAGGAGUCAACACUCCCCAAAGGAGUCUUCAGCCAGUAACGAAAUGAAAGGUGGAGUAUAAAAACCCCAGCUCCCUCACCACUCAGCUGGGGUAGCCCUGAGAUUCAUGCUCUCCACCCUCUUCAGAGUUUCCCGGCAGCAUCAUGUUCCUGUUACCCUUCUCACUACUGACUUGAUGCUCAUCCUUUCUUGGCUCCUUCCCUGUGUCACUUCCCCCAUCCCAUAUGGGAGAAGGCUUCCUGGGUUCACCUUCCAAAGUAAUUACUGGUACUGGAAUUCUCAUCUCAAGUUUUGCCUUAGGGUCACCCAAACUAAGACAGUGCCUAAUGCUGCAUCAGCUUUCUUACCAGUCACAUGAUGCUGUUGUAUCCUUAAUGUCAGAUAAACUCCCAGCUUCUUUUUAUGUCAACUGCUACCAAGCCACACAUUCUCAGUGCUGUGCCUUUGUUAUUGAUUUUUUAACCUAAACUCAGAGUUUAUGUUUAUUCCUGUUAUACUCUUAAGUUUUUUUCCAUAUUCCAACCUAACAGAAUAACUUUGAAUAUUGAUUUGUUCUUUCGUUGUGUUAACUAUCCCUUCCAGACAUGAGUCAUAUGUAGAAAUCUGAUAAGCAUGUUUCCUGUGCCUUCAUUCACUUAAAACAAACAAACAAACAAACUUUGAACAAGGUAGGGUUAGGAAAAGAAUUCUAAACUCAAUUCCUCCCAUUGUUCAAUAAUCAAGAUUCUUUCAGUAAGAAUGCUUAUUGGUAGUGAUUCAAACUAUCUGCACCAGUUCAACCCAGAAUUUACAAAUUUGCCCAUAGGAAUAUCAGGCAAGCUCAGCUCAGUUGCUUUGCUAGAAUAGAGAAGAUCCACAAUUAUGUCAUGCCUCUGAUACAUGAGCCUAUAACCUUAUCAGAAAGGAAAUAUGGUUCAUUUGGCUUGUUAUUAGCAAUUUUAUUUUAACCACUAAGAACCUCUGAAUUCAUUUCUAAAACCCUCCAAUCUUCCUUUUAUUUUCUUUUAUUUAUAUAUAUAUAUUUUUAUUUUAUUUUACUUUAUUUUUGAGACAGAGUCUCACUCUGUCACCAGGCUGGAGUGCAGUGGCAUGAUCUCGGCUCACUGCAACCUCUGCAUCCCGGGUUCAAGCAAUUCCUCUGCCUCAGCCUCCCAAGUAGCUGGGAAUACAGGUGCACACCACCAUGCCCAGCUAAUUUUUGUAUUUUUAGUAGAGAUGGUGUUUCACCAUGUUGGCCAGGAUGGUCUCGAUCUCUUGACCUUGUGAUCUGCCCACCUCGGCCUCCCAAAGUGCUGGGAUUACAGGCGUGAGCCAUCACGCCUGGCCUCCAAUCUUCCUUUUAAUAAUUUGAUCUGGAAUUUUAUCAGGGAGCUAUGCAUGCAUGUCAGGGGAGAUCAAGUUUAUGGUUUCCAGAAUCUACACUUUCUUUUUGAGAAUGGGAACUUUUGCCAGUACAUUGUUUUCCUAUCCUCAUUUCCAUAAUUUCUCAACAACAGUAAGUAGUUUUAAGGUCACAUUUGCAAGUUUUUUGAGGAGCCUGGGAUGUAACUUUUCUGGAGACUUCAACCUACUUUAAAUGGUCACAUGCCCCCUGUGUCCCUCACUGCCUCCCUUCUGCUGAGCUCUCCCCAGUCCUGGGAAGGCUGAUUCUUUAGCUAGAGAACCCAGACCAGCCCUGUGGCCUCAUAUUUCCACAUCAGCCUUCUUGAAUCUGUGUUCCUCCCCCCUCACUUAUCUUUUUACAUCAAACACAUGGCUCAAAGCUUUUGAUAUUUGACUUGACUCUUCAGGACCCCAAGCUCCUCUGACUCAGCCCUCCACCCCCCACCCCUAACCCACGGCCCACUCUGCUUGAGGGCUCCCCAAAACCUCAAACUCCACCGUAAGCUCCCUGAGCAGCCACAAGGAUUUUGGGGUUUGGUUUGGUUUUGCCUCUUACUCCCUUUUCAUUUUCCCUGGCAUCAUUCACAUUCACCAAUCAGAUUCAUUUUUAUCAUCUCCUAUUCCUCAUGAGAAAUACAUUUUUUUAUAACCUUUUACCUUGAAUUCAAAUCCAUUUUUCCUCUGAAGCACCUGAGGUGAGGUGGGUAUCUCCUCUUGUCCUAAUCUUAUCCACAUGCCAUGAUAUGGUUUGUCUGUGUCCCUACCCAAAUCUCAUCUUGAAUCAUAGCUCCUGUAAUCCCCAUGUGUUGUGGGAAGAACCUGGUGGGAGGUAAUUGAAUCAGAGGGGUGGGUUUUUCCCAUGCUGUUCUUGUGAUAAUGAAUAAGUUUCAUGAGAUCUGAUGGUUUUAUAAAGGCGAGUUCCCCUGCAAAAUGCUCUCUUUCCUGCCACCAUGUAAGAUGUGACUUUGCUUCUCCUUUGCUUCCACCAUGAUUGUGAGUCCUCCCCAGCCAUGUGGAACUGUGAGUCAAUUAAACCUCUUUCCUUUAUAAAUUACCCAGUCUCAGAUAUGUCUUUAUUAGCAGCAUCAAAACAGACUAAUACACACCACCAGUUUUCCUCCUGCAUGUUCCUCAGUUCUGCUAGAACUGUAAAAAGAUGGAUUCCAUAGACUGGAGUCACCCUGAGGGCAGGGAUGGACCCCUAU
This 5409-nucleotide long non-coding RNA is filed under the name Homo sapiens (human). RNAcentral's name for it is "HSALNT0251717". Lineage: Eukaryota; Metazoa; Chordata; Mammalia; Primates; Hominidae. The record is from RNAcentral.